Ictidomys tridecemlineatus (thirteen-lined ground squirrel) is the source of this 953-nucleotide non-coding RNA. NCBI's taxonomy places the organism in Eukaryota, Metazoa, Chordata, Mammalia, Rodentia, Sciuridae. The record is from RefSeq and is a predicted model, not a curated record.
GGGAAAUCAAACGGGCUGGUUGCGCCCCCAACCGCCACCUGGCCUCUGCGCGAAAGGCGGGGCCGGGGGCGCGGCUCCGAAGGUUGCCCCUGACGACCUAGGUGGAGCGCGGCAGUCAGCAGCCUUAGGUCUGGCGGUGAGAGGCACUGCUAGCCCUCAACCUCUAGACCGACCUAGCCCAGACCCUGGCAGGCGUAGACGCCUUCUCCCGGACACCACCGUUGAUUCAUUCUCCUUAGAGGAUGUCCCGGCACAUGGGGCGACUGUAUCUGCUCGCAGGGCAGGCUGGAAAGCACCGCAAAACGAUUUAACCAACUCAACAGUUGUUUUCAUAAGCCUGGGCCCCUCGUUUUUAUGUUGUUUUUGAGACAAAGGGUACAUGUAGCACACAAAGCAGUUUUGCUGAGUUUUGAUAUGUCUAUCCAUGUAGGCAACACCCUAACCAAGAUAUGUUUUCCUUGCCCCAGGAAGUUCCCUGGAGCCUCUUCCAGGUAAUUCCAGCAUCUUCACCGGUCACAAUUCUAAUGUCUCCCACCGUAUGUCUCUCACGUCUAUGUACGGGGUGCUGAAGUGUCUGGUUUUGGCACAUGCAGUUUCCUCUGCUUCGAAUGCGCUCCCUCACCCCGUGUCUCUUAGGGUGGCCCUCUUCAAAUAUCAGCGGAACCUCCGUGUGAGGUUAGAGAUACAUGGGGAGACAGCCAUGAGACACUGAAGUCUUGAACAGGUAAAAUAUGGAAGGUGUUGGCUAUGGAGUAUUGAGCACCAAGUCUUGGCUGUUGCAAGCCAAGGAACUCCUGGGGCUACCAGAAUCUGGAAGAGCAAGGAAGGAUCCUCUUCUUUAAGCUUUGGAGGGAGAACAAAUAACUGCAUACAUCUUAACUUCAGACUUCUAUCUUUCAGAACUGGUCUCAUUAAGUUGCUGACACUGACCUGGAAUUUAGGAUCCUCCUUCU